Molecule: ribosomal RNA, 553 nt
Filed under: Ancistrus clementinae
Lineage: Eukaryota; Metazoa; Chordata; Actinopteri; Siluriformes; Loricariidae
Description: partial 16S ribosomal RNA
Rfam family: Bacterial large subunit ribosomal RNA
Source: RNAcentral
AAAAACAUCGCCUCCUGCAAAAAUCAACAUAUAGGAGGUCUUACCUGCCCAGUGACUUAAGUUAAACGGCCGCGGUAUUUUGACCGUGCAAAGGUAGCGCAAUCACUUGUCUCUUAAAUGGGGACCCGUAUGAAUGGUGAAACGAGGGCUUAACUGUCUCCCCCCUCCGGUCAAUGAAAUUGAUCUGCCCGUGCAGAAGCGGGCAUAAUUAUACAAGACGAGAAGACCCUCUGGAGCUUAAGAUAAAAGACCAACUAUGUCAAAAGUACUAAAAAAUACUAAACUAAAUAACACUGGUCCCAAUCUUCGGUUGGGGUGACCACGGGAGAAAACAAAGCUCCCACGUGGACUGGGGAAACCCCCUAAAGCUAAGAAAGACAUCUCUAACACACAGAACAUCUGACCAAAAAGAUCCGGCCCUAUGCCGACCAACGGACCAAGUUACCCUAGGGAUAACAGCGCAAUCCUCUUCCAGAGUCCAUAUCGACAAGAGGGUUUACGACCUCGAUGUUGGAUCAGGAUAUCCUAAUGGUGCAGCCGCUAUUAAGGGUUC